Long non-coding RNA from Fukomys damarensis (Damara mole-rat), 294 nucleotides. RefSeq lists it as uncharacterized. The record is from RefSeq and is a predicted model, not a curated record. The transcript has 3 exons. NCBI's taxonomy places the organism in Eukaryota, Metazoa, Chordata, Mammalia, Rodentia, Bathyergidae.
AACAUCCAUGAGGCUGAGGAAAAGAAAAUCUCACUGGGAGAGUAGUUAAACAAACAGGAAACAGAAAUGAUUCAAGCACUGAAAAAAAAUCUGUAAUGGCAAGAAUCAGUAUAUACCUUUCAAUAAUAAUGCUCAAGGCAGAAAAGGAGCCACUGUCCUCAUCAUUCCUGAUUGUUUCUAACCUACAAAUGCCUCCCACUUUCCCCAUGUUCGGAGGAAUGUGUGGAUCUUACAGAGCUCAAAAGUGUGCCUGUCUGCCUGCCUGCAGCAAAUCCCUACUAGCUGGAAAGGUGA